Molecule: long non-coding RNA, 312 nt
Filed under: Ananas comosus (pineapple)
Lineage: Eukaryota; Viridiplantae; Streptophyta; Magnoliopsida; Poales; Bromeliaceae
Description: long non-coding RNA (ACOM_LNC000031)
Source: RNAcentral
AUGGAAUUUAUGCGAAAAGAUUUGCCACAUUUUUCGUAUUUAAUAUUUUGGAAAUUAUUUAUUAGUUGGAUUUAAUUAAAGUGGUACAUAUAAUUGUGUUAGUUUUUAGUCCGAAUCAAUAAUAAUGUUUUUAAUAAUUUACCGAUCGUUUAUAUAGUAAGUGGCAAAGCAUUUAAUGGUUGGUACCUGAGAAUCUGAGAUUUCAAGUUCGAAUCUUAAUUAAUUCGCAUUUCCAACUAAAUUUAAUUUUAAAUAAAAUAAAUCAAGCGGGUAUCUCUCAAAAAUAAUAUUUUCAAUGGUUUUACUUAUGAA